Molecule: ribosomal RNA, 287 nt
Filed under: uncultured bacterium
Lineage: Bacteria
Description: partial 16S ribosomal RNA
Rfam family: Bacterial small subunit ribosomal RNA
Source: RNAcentral
UUGCUCCUACGGGGCGCAGCAGUGGGGAAUAUUGCACAAUGGGGGAAACCCUGAUGCAGCGACGCCGCGUGAGUGAAGAAGUAAUUCGUUAUGUAAAGCUCUAUCAGCAGGGAAGAAAAUGACGGUACCUGAGUAAGAAGCCCCGGCUAACUACGUGCCAGCAGCCGCGGUAAUACGUAGGGGGCAAGCGUUAUCCGGAUUUACUGGGUGUAAAGGGAGCGUAGACGGCGAAGCAAGUCUGAAGUGAAAGCCCGCGGCUCAACCGCGGAAUGGCUUUGGAAACUUUU